GAGUGUGAGGUAGGCGGAAUGCGUUGUGUAGCGGUGAAAUGCAUAGAUAUGACGCAGAACUCCGAUUGCGAAGGCAGCUUACCAACACUUUACGGACGCUGAGGCACGAAAGCGUGGGUAUCGAACAGGAUUAGAUACCNNNGUAGUCCACGCAGUAAACGAUGAAUACUAAUUGUUCGGGGGGCAACCCCUGAGUGAUACAGCGAAAGCGUUAAGUAUUCCACCUGGGGAGUACGCCGGCAACGGUGAAACUCAAAGGAAUUGACGGGGGCCCGCACAAGCGGAGGAACAUGUGGUUUAAUUCGAUGAUACGCGAGGAACCUUACCCGGGCUCAAACGUUGGGGGAAUGCUCCUGAAAGGGAGCAGCCAGCAAUGGUCGCCAACGAGGUGCUGCAUGGUUGUCGUCAGCUCGUGCCGUGAGGUGUCGGCUUAAGUGCCAUAACGAGCGCAACCCCUGCGUCCAGUUACCAUCAAGUCAUGUUGGGGACUCUGGACGGACUGCCGGCGCAAGCCGUGAGGAAGGCGGGGAUGACGUCAAAUCAGCACGGCCCUUACGUCCGGGGCGACACACGUGUUACAAUGGCGUGGAACAGCGGGAAGCCACCUGGCGACAGGGAGCGGACCCCUAAAACACGUCUCAGUUCGGAUUGGAGUCUGCAACUCGACUCCAUGAAGCUGGAUUCGCUAGUAAUCGCGCAUCAGCCAUGGCGCGGUGAAUACGUUCCCGGGCCUUGUACACACCGCCCGUCAAGCCAUGGGAGCCGGGAGUGCCUGAAGUACGUAACCGGAAGGAGCGUCCAAGGGUAACACUGGUGACUGGGGCUAAGUCGUAACAAGGUAACC
RNAcentral lists this ribosomal RNA (844 nucleotides) under uncultured bacterium. RNAcentral's name for it is "bacterial SSU rRNA". It matches the Rfam family "Bacterial small subunit ribosomal RNA", at positions 648 to 1501 of the family's 1533-position model. The record is from RNAcentral.